Struthio camelus australis is the source of this 1117-nucleotide long non-coding RNA. RefSeq lists it as uncharacterized. The record is from RefSeq and is a predicted model, not a curated record. NCBI's taxonomy places the organism in Eukaryota, Metazoa, Chordata, Aves, Struthioniformes, Struthionidae.
UGCACCCCCACACUGCUCUCCUCCUCUGCUGUCCCCCGGGUGCCCCGAGUGCCUGGCCUGCACUGCACAGUCCCCACCCUCAUGAGAGGGCCAGGAUGGUUAGGCACGUUACUGAUGUGAGCAGUCAGAGAGAGCAGAGACCAGCGAAAGCAGAGCGGAGCUGAGGGUGGAGGCCAGAGCUCAAAGGCCAGAUCUCCCACUGUUAGAAGUCAGCACUGAAGCUGAGGAAAGUCUGGUGACUGGUAUCUGCUGAAGAGCCUAUUCAGUCUUUUCUUUGUGCGGCCUCUGCAUCACAAUUUCACAUGGCUAAGAGUCUUUAUGGGGACCACAGGUUCAUUUUUCUUCUAUCCAAAUUGCUGAGACAAUGUUCUCAAUAGUAUGUGGUAUCUAACUCUUACCAAUAAAUAAUUUCCAGGUAGAGACUGGGCAUCCCUGUUUUACUAACAUCAGCAACAACCAUGCAAGCCCUUCAGAGCUUGUUAAAAAAUGUUACUCUGCGUUAUGCAACAGAGUUUAAUUCAGAAGGACAGUAAUUUGACAACCAGACUGACUUUAGACAGGGACCCAGGUGUCUUUAUGACUGAUCUGUUGUUAAAACCCACAGAUGAGAGUAUUUUAGAUUAACAAAAUUGUUAAUUGCCUUGGUUACAUUAAAACAUCUGUGCAAGAGUGACAAAAUGCUGGGAAGGCCUAGAAGAUAGGUGGGUGCCCCUCUGCCCCAGUAACCAAGAGAAGUCAGGUUCCUGACCGCCUUGUACCUCAGACAAUAUCACUACAUUGGUGUGAAACCUUGAAGGAGAUAACAGAAAUCAGUUUUAAUUGUGCUUAAACCAAUAUAUCUUUUGCUAGACUGAUCUUAAAUCAGCUUAUUAACACUAACACAAGGUUUCCAGUACUCAUACACAUACUUCUUUUAUCUACUGUGGUUGAAAUUCAUUCUGAAUUAGGACCAGAACAAAGAACUAUCCACUGUUUACGUCUCACUAAAGGCCUAAAGUGAAGGGUUGGGAGAAUGUAAGAAUGGCAAAGGCUUUGUAGUAACCCUGUCUAGAAAUGGAUUUUAUCUUCAAAGCUAUAGCUGUUCUUUGCUGUUAAAUCCUUGUUUCAUUCUCUGUUG